GACGAACGCUGGCGGCGUGCUUAACACAUGCAAGUCGAACGGAAAGGCCUCUUUCGGGGGGUACUCGAGUGGCGAACGGGUGAGUAACACGUGAGUAACCUGCCCUUGACUUUGGGAUAACUUCAGGAAACUGGGGCUAAUACCGGAUAGGAGCUCCUGCUGCAUGGUGGGGGUUGGAAAGUUUCGGCGGUUGGGGAUGGACUCGCGGCUUAUCAGCUUGUUGGUGGGGUAGUGGCUUACCAAGGCUUUGACGGGUAGCCGGCCUGAGAGGGUGACCGGCCACAUUGGGACUGAGAUACGGCCCAGACUCCUACGGGAGGCAGCAGUGGGGAAUAUUGCACAAUGGGUGGAAGCCUGAUGCAGCAACGCCGUGUGCGGGAUGACGGCCUUCGGGUUGUAAACCGCUUUCGCUCAUGACGAAGCUUUAUGUGACGGUAGUGGGUAAAGAAGCACCGGCUAACUACGUG
RNAcentral lists this ribosomal RNA (467 nucleotides) under uncultured bacterium. RNAcentral describes it as "partial 16S ribosomal RNA". It matches the Rfam family "Bacterial small subunit ribosomal RNA", at positions 28 to 507 of the family's 1533-position model. The record is from RNAcentral.